CCCUACUAUGCCUAGCCAUAACACAACAAUCAAAUUACCUAUUGUUCGCCAAAUAACUACGAGUACAGACUUAAAAUUUAAAAGACUUGACGGUACCUCACAACAACCUAGAGGAGCCUGUCAAAUAACCGAUACUCCACGAUUAAUCCAACCCCCCCUGGCCAAUCAGUCUAUAUACCGCCGUCGCCAGCCCACCUUAUGAAAGAAAUUAAGUGAGCUAAAUAGCCAUACACUAGUACGACAGGUCGAGGUGUAACUAAUGGGUGGGUUCAAGAUGGGCUACAUUUUCUAACGCAGAAAACACGAAUUAACUAUGAAAUAAAAACUGAAGGCGGAUUUAGAAGUAAACUAAGAACAAACUACCUUAAUCGAAACUAACGCAAUGAGGUGCGUACACACCGCCCGUCAUCCCUGUCACUAAAAUAUAAACAUUCAUAAACUCACAUUAAACUAACAACAGGGCAAGUCGUA
RNAcentral lists this ribosomal RNA (471 nucleotides) under Conopsis lineata (lined Tolucan ground snake). RNAcentral's name for it is "partial 12S ribosomal RNA". The record is from RNAcentral. Lineage: Eukaryota; Metazoa; Chordata; Lepidosauria; Squamata; Colubridae.